AAAAAAGCAGGGGUCUGUUGCCUUUGUGGACAGGUCCCUCGUAAGCAUCAGGGAAAUGAAACUUCUUUGUUAUUGGGUGAACCUCUUGAAUUGUACUGAUGGAAGGUUCAGUAAACGAUGGAACAUUA
Diospyros lotus (date-plum) is the source of this 128-nucleotide small nucleolar RNA. RefSeq annotates it as small nucleolar RNA snoR74. The record is from RefSeq and is a predicted model, not a curated record. NCBI's taxonomy places the organism in Eukaryota, Viridiplantae, Streptophyta, Magnoliopsida, Ericales, Ebenaceae. The transcript has a single exon.